RNAcentral lists this ribosomal RNA (253 nucleotides) under uncultured bacterium. RNAcentral's name for it is "partial 16S ribosomal RNA". It matches the Rfam family "Bacterial small subunit ribosomal RNA", at positions 524 to 776 of the family's 1533-position model. The record is from RNAcentral.
UACGGGGGGGGCAAGCGUUGUUCGGAAUUACUGGGCGUAAAGGGCUCGUAGGCGGCCAACUAAGUCGGAUGUGAAAUCCCCAGGCUUAACCUGGGAACUGCAUCCGAUACUGGAUGGCUUGAAUCCGGGAGAGGGAUGCAGAAUUCCAGGUGUAGCGGUGAAAUGCGUAGAUAUCUGGAGGAAUACCGGUGGCGAAGGCGGCAUCCUGGACCGGCAUUGACGCUGAGGAGCGAAAGCAUGGGGAGCGAACAGG